GAGAACUCAUAUUUGUAACAUACUCUAUAUUGCCAUCUCGUUUGUUCAUAAUGAACUUGUCAUAGCUAUUUCCAUCUAUAGCAUGGAAUUUACCAUUGCAACAUGCAACAUUGUAAUAUGACGUAUAUACCUAGUGGCUUUAUUUUGUUAGUUCUUUAGACUUUUAGAUCAUAUUUAUUUAAUUAGCUAGUAAGGUAUUGAUAAAUAAUACCUUUAUAAAACAGUUUUGCGGUCAAUUAUGCAAGUUAUUACACAGUUGUGUAUGCGUUAUUAAAUAUAAGUGUUGUUUUGUGAAAUUGUUUAGGUUAAGAAAGCGCGCGUUUGUUUUUAGAAAGUAUUUUAUUAUAAUUUUAAUAACACUAUUAGGAAUCGGUAAUUGUUACGAAAAUACCACGGCCGAUAAAUGACUGUAGAGGCCCUAAAAUGUAUUAGCACUAAGUCACUGAUAUAAAAGUUUGUUACUGUAAAUAAAUAUAAUUAUGUAUUUUUCCUUUCGUUUUAUUUAUCUCCAUGGGAUAUGAGUUACCUCAGAAGAGUGAAGGGGCCAAAAGUUUUGAGAAUAUUUUUGCAAACUUCAUUCCAACGAGAAAAGGAAGCUUGCUGUUAGUCUACGAAGGAUUUGCAUUCCGUCUAAAAAACAAACUGGCUUAUGGAAAGAAACAAUGGUACUGUACAUCUCGUACUAAAACUGGCUGCCAUGUUGAUGUCACAACAGUUGUGCACAGACUUGGAAACCUCAUCAAAAGGGUACGUAACAACCACAAUCAUCCUCCUCCAGGAUUCUACCGGCGCAAGGAUGGCUCCUUCAAAGUUGUUUAAAUGUAGAGGCUAAUUUAAAAGUAAUCAUACCAUAAAGAAUUUUUAUUAUUUGUUACAAAUUCAUACUUUUUUUUUCAUUUUGGUAGGAUAACAAAAUUAAGAUUAAAUGAAUUGCAUAUAGUUAUAUAUUAAGAGUUUAGAUUGUAAGUUUUGGUACUCUGAAAUGAUGUAAAACCUUUGAUGUUCAAAAUGAAGACUGAUAAAAGACUAGUAGAGAAAUCAAAUAACACAUUUGGGACUGAAUUUUUUUUGUAUUUGUACUUAAUUUAUUUUAGCUAUAAAUAUUGUAAUUCAAUUCAGCUUUUUCUGCUCAUGAUAAAAUUAUAAGACUGAUUUAUCAUUUCUACCUCAAGACCUAAAAUUAAAAAUGUUUAUUUUACAUUUAGCGGGUAAGGUAAUAUAUUUGUGGUAAAUUUUUUUUUAAGAAUUACAGGGGUGGUAAAUAUUCUAAGAUAAUUAAUUUAUAAUUAAUACAUAUUAUAAGUUGUAUAUCCAUAUCUUAUGGGAAUAUGCAGAAAUACCU
Molecule: long non-coding RNA, 1342 nt
Organism: Manduca sexta (tobacco hornworm)
Lineage: Eukaryota; Metazoa; Arthropoda; Insecta; Lepidoptera; Sphingidae
Exons: 2
Source: RefSeq, a predicted model, not a curated record